GGACUACCCGGGUAUCUAAUCCUGUUUGAUCCCCACACUUUCGUAUCUCAGCGUCAGUAUUUGGCCAGAUGGCCGCCUUCGCCACCGGUAUUCCUCCUGAUAUCUACGUAUUUCACCACUACACCAGGAAUUCUACCAUCCUCUCCAAUACUCAAGCUUUACAGUUUCAAAUGCAAUUCCAUGGUUAAGCCAUGGGAUUUCACACCUGACUUGAAAAGCCGCCUACAUACGCUUUACGCCCAGUGAUUCCGAACAACGCUAGGACCCCUCGUCUUACCGCGGCUGCUGGCAC
Molecule: ribosomal RNA, 292 nt
Filed under: uncultured bacterium
Lineage: Bacteria
Description: partial 16S ribosomal RNA
Source: RNAcentral